GGAGAGGUCGCAUAGUGGCCUAGUGCGCCGCCUUGGAAAGGCGGUAGACCCGAAAGGGUCUCGGGGGUUCGAAUCCCCCCCUCUCCGCCA
This 90-nucleotide transfer RNA is filed under the name bacterium. RNAcentral describes it as "tRNA-Ser". It matches the Rfam family "tRNA". Rfam says of the family: Transfer RNA (tRNA) molecules are approximately 80 nucleotides in length. The record is from RNAcentral.